UAUUUUUUAGAACAAAAGAUUUAACUUAAAACUGUAUAAUUUGGCCAACAUAUUUAAUUAAUAAAAUAGAUAAAAUAAAUAUUAAAAGUUAACCAACACAAAGGAAAUAACUUAUCUUUUGGGGAAUCUAAUUAAGUUAAUUAAAAAUUAUAAAGUUAGAGUUAAAAUAACAAAUAAUAAAAUAAUCACGAUUAAAUAAUUAAAGAGUAAGAGAGAAAUUGAAUUUGGGCCUCCUUUUGGGCCAAAUUUGUUGGAAUUUUUGGGUUUAACCCAAUUUCCGUUUUUGGUAUACGGCUGAUGUAUAUCAGUGUAUAUCGGCAUGCAUAUCAGCCUUUUUCAUGUAUUUCUUGCUUCCGAAUAACUGUAUUUCGCCUUAGCCCUGUAUUUUUCAUUUUUUCUUGACCUGUAUAUCGAUGUAUAUCUGUGGUAUACUGUUGUAUAUUUGCCUUUUUCCACCUGCGUUUUUGGCUUCCAAGAGCCCUAUCUCAGCUUCCAAACUUUAUAUAAAGGCUGACUUGAGAAAACGGAGGUGUUUGGUGUUGAUCCUACUCAAAAAAUGCACGUAAAGGGGUCCACAUUGGACUCAAAUACACAUCACAUGCAAACAAAAAGGAUAAAGAUUAAUAAGCUCACAAACGCUCUAUUAAAUUAAACACAAAGUAACUUAAAUAAUUAUGAAUUAAAUAUAUCAAGGGACAUAAAUCACUUAAAGGAAGGGGUUAAAGAGGAGAAAGAAAAAGAAAUAUUCCCGUAAUUAUCACUAGCAUGAGACUUAAUUGUGAACAAGAGAUAAAUCUCCUAUACUUAAAUAUACACAAGUGAACAUCAACAAGGAAGCAAUUGCAAGGGAAAACAAAAUAAUGAAACAAGAUUGGAGAAAAAGCAGACUAAAAUAUUAUCUAAAUCUUAAAUAAUUACUACAAAACAAACUUUAAUGGUAUAAUUCCACCAAAAUGCAGCAAAUUGGUUUAUGCUGAUUUGAAAACAAAUAACAACUUUCUUAAAUAGCUAGAAGUUAAACACAUAAACUCAAUAUAUUUUCUAGUCAAAUCUUUCAUUUCUAAACAACAAGGAAUACAAAUAACAAAACAAUAAUUUUCACUCUUUCAUUAAGAUUUUUGAUGCCUAAAUUGCACAAGUGAAAUGGCUUUAUAUCUCAAUAUCUAAACUACCACAACAACUAAAACAUUUAACAAUACUCUACUAUUAGUUCAAAAUAUACAAAAAGGACUAUCAACUAAGAACAGGACCAACAUUCUAUGCAAAAAAAAAAUAAAAUUUUGACACUCCAAAAUUUGUGGAAUCACAGUUAAAAGAGAAGCAACACUGAUCUCAAAACAAAAUUGAAAAUAACCUAGGUUAAUGGAAUAAGGUAUGCGUUCAAGAAAGAAACUCAGUUAAUCCAAAUAGGCGAUUGGAAUCAAUGACAACAUCUAAACUACACUCAAAUGUUGGACUCGCUUAAUCCCAUUCAUUCAAGUAGCAGGCAUAUAAGAUCAUGGGAAGGGCAUGGAUAGAGGAACAUCAUGUCCAAAUCAUAAGAGAACAAGCAUGAAUUUCGACCAAGUUCAAGCUGAGAAUCCGAGCUAAUAGCAUGUUUGAGGAAUGUUAAUAGCACAAAUGUGAAGCUGUGAGAUUAUUUAUUUGCAAUAAUAAGCAUAAAAUGCUAAUAAACAUCUAAACAAGUAAUAAAUUUUUACGAAUACCAUCGGAUGAACAAGAGGGAGACAAAUUAGGUAUGUAUAGGCAGACUCAAUACUUAAAUUUAUGGAGAUAAUAAAGAUGCUAGCAAUAAGACAAACAAAUCAACUAAAGAUUCGCAACUACGCCUCAAUCAAAUAGUAGGCGAGACUUCAAUAAUCUAAAGAGUCUAGUUGUGUAAUCAUCCAUUUUUCUCGGAUCUAAUAUGAAAAGAAAAACGAAAUGCUACUAGGAACACAUGAGCAGGAAGGCAGGGAAUGAUUGGAGCAAACAUAACAGAACAACAAAACAAAACAAAAAUAUAAAAAAAAAAAUACCUUUUAUGGGCGGCAAACCGGGACAAGACGAGUGAUUUGGAGCGACGACUUCUUACACCGGUUUAGACUUGAGCAAUAGACAAGGAAAUUUGAACCAACCUUUGAUUAAAGCUUUUCUUGGAACUCAGAAUUAGGAAAUCGUUUUGAAAUUUCUCAAAUGUAAAAUGACUAUUGCCCAAAGAAUUGAACUCCAACCUCUUCCCCCUACACCACUUGAGCAUGAAGAACUAUUUAUAGGGAAAAUUUAGGGGGAAAUCCGUUGAAUUUUUUCAAGAGAAAAUUUGAAUUUUUCUUUUCUCUUUUCCAAGGUCAACAAUGAAAGACGUUGUGCAGCCUGUGACACCGCGAAAAGAGGAAAAAA
This 2379-nucleotide long non-coding RNA is filed under the name Solanum tuberosum (potato). Its description in RNAcentral is "long non-coding RNA (STUB_LNC000375)". The record is from RNAcentral. Lineage: Eukaryota; Viridiplantae; Streptophyta; Magnoliopsida; Solanales; Solanaceae.